CCAAUAGCGUAUAUUAAAGUUGUUGCAGUUAAAAAGCUCGUAGUUGAAUUUCGGAAUCAAUUUAUUGGUCGUGCAAUAGUACGUACUGGUUUUAUUGGUUUCUCCCUUCUGAUGAACCAUGAUGUCAUUAAUUUGGUGUUAUGGGGAAUCAGGACUGUUACUUUGAAAAAAUUAGAGUGUUUAAAGCAGGCUCACGCUUGAAUACAUUAGCAUGGAAUAAUGAAAUAGGACGUUUGAUUCUAUUUUGUUGGUUUCUAGGAUCGACGUAAUGAUUAAUAGGGAUAGUUGGGGGCAUUAGUAUUCAAUUGUCAGAGGUGAAAUUCUUGGAUUUAUUGAAGACUAACUACUGCGAAAGCAUUUGCCAAGGAUGUUUUCAUUAAUCAAGAACGAAAGUUAGGGGAUCGAAGACGAUCAGAUACCGUCGUAGUCUUAACCAUAAACUAUGCCGACUAGGGAUCGGAUGAUGUUAAUUUUUUAAUGACUCAUUCGGCGCCUUACG
This 499-nucleotide ribosomal RNA is filed under the name uncultured Glomeromycotina. RNAcentral's name for it is "partial small subunit ribosomal RNA". It matches the Rfam family "Eukaryotic small subunit ribosomal RNA", at positions 591 to 1092 of the family's 1831-position model. The record is from RNAcentral. Lineage: Eukaryota; Fungi; Glomeromycota.